AUACGUAGGGGGCAAGCGUUAUCCGGAUUUACUGGGUGUAAAGGGAGCGUAGACGGAAGGCCAAGUCUGAUGUGAAAGCCCGCGGCUCAACUGCGGGACUGCAUUGGAAACUGGUCAUCUGGAGUGCAGGAGGGGUAAGCGGAAUUCCUAGUGUAGCGGUGAAAUGCGUAGAUAUUAGGAGGAACACCGGUGGCGAAGGCGGCUUACUGGACUGUAACUGGCGUUGAGGCUCGAAAGCGUGGGGAGCAAACAGGAUUAGAUACCCUGGUAGUCUACACUGUAAACGAUGAAUGCUAGGUGUAAGAGGUAUCGACCCCUUUUGUGCCGGAGUCAACACAAUAAGCAUUCCGCCUGGGGAGUACGGCCGCAAGGCUGAAACUCAAAUGAAUUGACGGGG
RNAcentral lists this ribosomal RNA (397 nucleotides) under uncultured bacterium. RNAcentral's name for it is "partial 16S ribosomal RNA". It matches the Rfam family "Bacterial small subunit ribosomal RNA", at positions 523 to 918 of the family's 1533-position model. The record is from RNAcentral.